RNAcentral lists this long non-coding RNA (215 nucleotides) under Lathyrus oleraceus (garden pea). RNAcentral describes it as "Pisum sativum (pea) long non-coding RNA (PSAT_LNC034897)". The record is from RNAcentral. Lineage: Eukaryota; Viridiplantae; Streptophyta; Magnoliopsida; Fabales; Fabaceae.
UUCCUCCUCCAAACCCUAACGUUUCUCUCUUUUCUUCUCUUUUCUCCUCCUUCUCUCUACUUCUUUCUAUUUCCCUUCUUUCUAUUUCUCUUCUUUCUAUUUCUAUUCUAUUUCUAUUCUUUGUUUUAAUUAAAUAAAAACUAACUAAUGGGCUUAAUUGUUACACCUCCCUUAAUUACUAUAUACACCACUAGGCCCAAUAGCUAUUAUACCAC